UAAGCGGAGGAAAAGAAACUAACAAGGAUUCCCCUAGUAACUGCGAGUGAAGCGGGAAAAGCUCAAAUUUAAAAUCUGGCGGUCUUUUGGCUGUCCGAGUUGUAAUCUAGAGAAGUGUUAUCCGCGCUGGACCGUGUACAAGUCUCCUGGAAUGGAGCAUCAUAGAGGGUGAGAAUCCCGUCUUUGACAUGGACUGCCAGGGCUUUGUGAUGCGCUCUCGAAGAGUCGAGUUGUUUGGGAAUGCAGCUCAAAAUGGGUGGUAAAUUCCAUCUAAAGCUAAAUAUUGGCGAGAGACCGAUAGCGAACAAGUACCGUGAGGGAAAGAUGAAAAGAACUUUGGAAAGAGAGUUAAACAGUACGUGAAAUUGCUGAAAGGGAAACGCUUGAAGUCAGUCGCGUCAUCCAGGGAUCAACCUUGCUUUUGCUUGGUGCACUUCCUGGUUUGAUGGGUCAGCAUCAAUUUUGACCGUUGGAAAAAGGCUGAGGGAAUGUGGCAUCUUUGGAUGUGUUAUAGCCCUCUGUCACAUACAAUGGUUGGGAUUGAGGAACUCAGCACGCCGCAAGGCCGGGUUUUAAACCACGUACGUGCUUAGGAUGCUGGCAAUAUGGCUUUAAUCGACCCGUCUUGAAACACGGACCAAGGAGUCUAACAUGCCUGCGAGUGUUUGGGUGGAAAACCCGAGCGCGUAAUGAAAGUGAAAAGUUGAGAUCCCUGUCGUGGGGAGCAUCGACGCCCGGACCAGACCUUUUGUGACGGUUCCGCGGUAGAGCAUGUAUGUUGGGACCCGAAAGAUGGUGAACUAUGCCUGAAUAGGGUGAAUCCAGAGGAAACUCUGGUGGAGGCUCGUAGCGAUUCUGACGUGCAAAUCGAUCGUCAAAUUUGGGGUAUAGGGGGCGAAAGACUAAUCGA
RNAcentral lists this ribosomal RNA (910 nucleotides) under Cortinarius vernus. RNAcentral's name for it is "partial large subunit ribosomal RNA". It matches the Rfam family "Eukaryotic large subunit ribosomal RNA", at positions 47 to 938 of the family's 3401-position model. Lineage: Eukaryota; Fungi; Basidiomycota; Agaricomycetes; Agaricales; Cortinariaceae. The record is from RNAcentral.